UUCCUGAUAGUCCAGUGACUAAGACUCUGUACUCCCAAUGCUGGGGGCCUGGGUUUGAUCCCUGGUCAGGGAA
Molecule: transfer RNA, 73 nt
Organism: Ovis aries (sheep)
Lineage: Eukaryota; Metazoa; Chordata; Mammalia; Artiodactyla; Bovidae
Rfam family: tRNA
About the family: Transfer RNA (tRNA) molecules are approximately 80 nucleotides in length. Their secondary structure includes four short double-helical elements and three loops (D, anti-codon, and T loops).
Source: Rfam